RNAcentral lists this ribosomal RNA (278 nucleotides) under uncultured Pseudomonas sp. Its description in RNAcentral is "partial 16S ribosomal RNA". It matches the Rfam family "Bacterial small subunit ribosomal RNA", at positions 1105 to 1382 of the family's 1533-position model. The record is from RNAcentral. Lineage: Bacteria; Pseudomonadati; Pseudomonadota; Gammaproteobacteria; Pseudomonadales; Pseudomonadaceae.
UUGUCCUUAGUUACCAGCACGUUAUGGUGGCACUCUAAGGAGACUGCCGGUGACAAACCGGAGGAAGGUGGGGAUGACGUCAAGUCAUCAUGGCCCUUACGGCCUGGGCUACACACGUGCUACAAUGGUCGGUACAAAGGGUUGCCAAGCCGCGAGGUGGAGCUAAUCCCAUAAAAACCGAUCGUAGUCCGGAUCGCAGUCUGCAACUCGACUGCGUGAAGUCGGAAUCGCUAGUAAUCGUGAAUCAGAAUGUCACGGUGAAUACGUUCCCGGGCCUU